AAUGAGAUAGAUUUUUCAGUUUUAAAUACUUGAAUCAAAUUGUCUGCUAGUUCUUAUUUUAAAAUACGAAUAAUGUAUAGAAAAAAUGUUUUAAUUUCCAGUACCUAAAGGUCGCAAAUAUAAUAUAAUGAAGACCCUUCAUUUUAUGAUGGCAUUGAAAUGUUUGUGGUUUGUCUUGUCAACAAAAUACUCGAAGGAGCGUCAAGUCACCAUCAAUAAAAAAAUAAUAAUAAUAAUAAUAAUAAAAAAACUAAGGGGGAAAAAAUCUACUUAUGUAGAUCGGAGUGGUGGUAAAAUGGAAAACGGCGGUGAUCGACUAUCGGACAAAUGCUGAUAGACAAUGACGUGUGUUUGGCGUUAGCGAGCUGUAGCGAUUUCCGAUCGACCGCCAUGGCAACCUCGGCAAAUUGUUUUCAGCAUUCUGCAGUGCGGCUACAAUACACACGUGCCAAAAUAAACAAACAGCGAGAAAAAUAUUUUACUUCGAGAAUUAUACAUUAUAUAUAGGCAUCCACUGUAUAAAUAUCCGAAGUAUAAUAAAGUGCCGAUCAUCCGGUUGAUUCGAAAC
This is a long non-coding RNA of Aphis gossypii (cotton aphid), 568 nucleotides long. RefSeq lists it as uncharacterized. The transcript is spliced from 3 exons. Lineage: Eukaryota; Metazoa; Arthropoda; Insecta; Hemiptera; Aphididae. The record is from RefSeq and is a predicted model, not a curated record.